AGCGUGGGGCUUGGGCGAUUUGGUGCUGUGGUUCUCAGCUCAGACCUUGUUUCCAGUUGUCUCUCUCCAAGGAUUCCUAGGGAGCCAACACUUGCGGACUGAUGAAAAUUGUUGUUAACGUGCUUUCACUGUACAGACUGAUUUCUGUUCCUAAACCAGAUGAGCGCCAAGGAGAUGGUCCACUAGGGUUCGUUCAUUCCACUCCAUUCCUGUGCAAGCAGUUUUAAAUGCCUAGGAUAUUGACAAGGUCUCUGUCUCAAGUACUUUUUUUUCCCUAGUAGGACAAACGAUCUCUAAACAAUUUAAGAUGGUGUUGGCAAUAACGCACUGACCAGUAGGGAUGGACUGGGACUUCCCGAGGCAGCCAGAAAAGGUCUCUGAAGUCCUCGGACGAGGUGCCACACUGGGGCGCACUGGAGAAGAACUUUGCCAGAAAGAAGGACCAAGAAAAACUCUGAGGCUGGAAUGAAUUUGCGUAGUUGAAGGAGGCCGAAUGCCGAAGAGGUUGGAGCGUGGGUUAGCGUCUUGAGUUGGGGAGGCAGAUAAUGGUGAGAUUGCAGGAGGUUCUCGUAGGUUCCUGCUAAAGAGUUUGGGUUUCAUUGCCUGGGAAUGCCCUCUCCCAGUCUACUGCCUGCAGCGUGUGUAGGCAGACAAGUCCUGGCUGUGAGUUACGAAGGCAAGAGGGGAGGUGCAGAAGGUCUGGACAACAAAAUUACUAAACCCACGAGUAAUAAGUGUCCUGCGGGUUCCCUUCUUACCUCAGAUGCGGCCCAAAAGUGGUUGUGUGGCCUGGUGAAACAGUUGGAGUCCUUGAGCCCUGAGAAGCAGCAGCAGCAGGGUCAUUCGAAGAAUCUCAGCUAAUUUCCCAGUGAAUUCAGUUGCAGAUAAGGAUGGGAGAGGAAUAUUUGUCAAGUUUCUUGCUAUAUUGCCCAGGUUGGCCUUGAACUCCUGCUCAAGUGAUUAUCCUGCUGCAACCUUAUGAGUAGCUGAGAUUACAAACACAGCAAUGCUGGGCUACAUCUGCUUUUUAACUGUUGUGGUCGGAAAGUGACACAUGUAUAAAAAAAAAGUGCUCACUGCCACC
Long non-coding RNA from Fukomys damarensis (Damara mole-rat), 1084 nucleotides. RefSeq lists it as uncharacterized. The record is from RefSeq and is a predicted model, not a curated record. Lineage: Eukaryota; Metazoa; Chordata; Mammalia; Rodentia; Bathyergidae. The transcript has 3 exons.